Molecule: long non-coding RNA, 328 nt
Filed under: Homo sapiens (human)
Lineage: Eukaryota; Metazoa; Chordata; Mammalia; Primates; Hominidae
Description: HSALNT0259935
Source: RNAcentral
GGGAGACAGGGUGAGUCAGACAGGUGUAGUUGGACGUUGAAUGAAUGAAUGCACGAAUUUACGGGAAGGCAAGGGUGAGCAUGAGAGCCACAGAGAUGGAACAGAAAGAGAGACAGUGAGAAAUAGGGAACUGAAGACACACACGCCAAGGCAGGAGAACCGCUUGAGUCCAGGAGUUUGAGACCAGCCUGGGCAACAUUGUGAAAUCCCAUCUUUCCAAAAGAGAGAUGGAGAAAUGGACGUGUUGUGGGAGAGAGAGAGAGAGAAAUGCGUAGGGCUCAACACACUGUAGGUCUUCAGGAAAUGCCUGCAGAGCAGAAAAGUUGAU